AACAUCUGCUACUACUUAGUCUAUUUAGCUUGUUUCAAUUGUUGGAUAGAGCUACGAUGAUGUUCAUGAAUCUGGCUUCACAACAUUCAGAGGUAAAGUCGGCGAUGCAAAAUCUAAAAGGAAUGAUCCAAUUGUAGCUCUUGUUGCAUUAAUCGCUUAGUGUGACUGAUUUAGCUUAGGACACGCUUCAUUCAUGUUAAUCUUAAUGGGAUUCUCAUCCAUUUGAUGAGGUACAGACAAGUAGCAACUAGAGGCGACCAUCAUAUGCACUAAGGAAUGGGAUCGGUGCUCAAGUGACUUCAAGGUUGCUAGCAAGUUACUUUCACUGCUCAACUGAUGCUUAAUUUUAGAAUGAUGACUGCGAAGGUAAUUAGGCCAUAAUUGCUGAAAGGAGCUAAGUGCGGCCAAUCUGCACUUUCAAUGAUCAAAUUAAAAUUGUAAUUUAAUGAUUUGUAGACUAUCCAAAAGUUAUAGCUCCAACAUCUGUACUAAAAAAUUUCUUGAUCAAUGAUUAGUGUAUUUGAAUGC
Mercurialis annua (annual mercury) is the source of this 528-nucleotide long non-coding RNA. RefSeq lists it as uncharacterized. The record is from RefSeq and is a predicted model, not a curated record. The transcript is spliced from 3 exons. Lineage: Eukaryota; Viridiplantae; Streptophyta; Magnoliopsida; Malpighiales; Euphorbiaceae.